This 506-nucleotide ribosomal RNA is filed under the name uncultured bacterium. Its description in RNAcentral is "partial 16S ribosomal RNA". It matches the Rfam family "Bacterial small subunit ribosomal RNA", at positions 29 to 523 of the family's 1533-position model. The record is from RNAcentral.
AGUGAACGCUGGCGGUAGGCCUAACACAUGCAAGUCGAACGGCAGCACAGGAGAGCUUGCUCUCUGGGUGGCGAGUGGCGGACGGGUGAGGAAUACAUCGGAAUCUACUCUGUCGUGGGGGAUAACGUAGGGAAACUCACGCUAAUACCGCAUACGACCUACGGGUGAAAGCAGGGGACCUUCGGGCCUUGCGCGAUUGAAUGAGCCGAUGUCGGAUUAGCUAGUUGGCGGGGUAAAGGCCCACCAAGGCGACGAUCCGUAGCUGGUCUGAGAGGAUGAUCAGCCACGCUGGAACUGAGAGACAGUCCAGACUCCUACGGGAGGCAGCAGUGGGGAAUAUUGGACAAUGGGCGCAAGCCUGAUCCAGCCAUACCGCGUGGGUGAAGAAGGCCUUCGGGUUGUAAAGCCCUUUUGUUGGGAAAGAAAUCCAGCUGGCUAAUACCCGGUUGGGAUGACGGUACCCAAAGAAUAAGCACCGGCUAACUUCGUGCCAGCAGCCGCCGUAA